UACGGGGGGGGCAAGCGUUGUUCGGAAUUACUGGGCGUAAAGGGCUCGUAGGCGGCCAACUAAGUCAGACGUGAAAUCCCUCGGCUUAACCGGGGAACUGCGUCUGAUACUGGAUGGCUUGAGUUUGGGAGAGGGACGCGGAAUUCCAGGUGUAGCGGUGAAAUGCGUAGAUAUCUGGAGGAACACCGGUGGCGAAGGCGGCAUCCUGGACCAUUACUGACACUGAAUAGCGAAAGCCAGGGGAGCAAACGGG
Molecule: ribosomal RNA, 253 nt
Filed under: uncultured bacterium
Lineage: Bacteria
Description: partial 16S ribosomal RNA
Rfam family: Bacterial small subunit ribosomal RNA
Source: RNAcentral